AAGAAGAUGUUUAUGACCAUAUUGUCGGAUUUUUCCAAUCACUUGGACAGUCUAUAAGCAGUGCUUAACGGAACUCGACAACUGAACUUCUAUGUGUCUGCACAUAUUGUAAAUAUUCGCAGCGGCGAAGUCAGGAAAUUGAUUAGACCUGCUCCCCAAGUAUACUAAAGCUGUAAAUCUUAACUAUUUCCAUAUUUUACUAUGAAUGGUCUCUCCUUUUAACAUACGCAACAAAUUCGUGGAUAUCCAUCUGAUCUGAUCUAUCCUAGGGAUCAAAUACAAAAUGAAUAUUCAACUUCAAUAGACAGAAUGAAAAUCCAAAUCUACCUAAAUGGAUAUCCAUUUCUGUCUUCGAUCCUUAGUUGAAGGUUGUCAUUGUUUCAAUUCAAUGGUAAAAAAGCGUGUUUACCUUUAAUAAGGUUUCGUAUUCGAGUUCCAACAAAGACACAAGUGUACGCCUGGUUAUAGUUUGGAUUUUUCCCUUCCCCUCCUACAUUUGUAAAAAAAAUCCAUCGAACGUUGUUGUCAGCUCUACUUUUUGAAAAAAUUACGAUGAUAUGAUCGAACACACACUUUGUACGGUACCUAUCUAAUAAUGAUUCACUUGAUUUUAUCAAAAUAUUAGGUUGGAAAUGCUCGCGGGACAUUCUGGAGUCAUGGGCAUAUAUCUUUAUCCGAGGACGACAAGGUAAACCUGCACGUCGCAUUUGUUUUCUUUCCCUCAUUACAGUAGUUCUUGGCAGUCAUUCUCCUUGGGUGGACUAUUAGUUUACUUUUACAGCUACUUUCAGGACUUCUGGGAUUGGAGUUGGCAGGAAUUGGCAAUGUAUGACCUAGCAGCGAUGAUACACCACAUUUAUUCAGCAACAAGCUCGAAAGUUUUCCUUGUUGGUCAUUCUCAGGGAACGAUCAUGUCUUUAGCGGCUCUCUCGCAGCCGAAAAUUGUGGAAAUGGUCGAAGCUGCUGCACUUCUGUGUCCAAUUUCAUACUUGGAUCGUGUAACUGCUCCUCUUGUACAUAAAAUGGUCACCAUGCACGUUGAUCAGGUCUGUUUCGAGCUGCAUCUCCUUACAUUUUCUAGUAAAACCCGUUUUCUAACAAUACCUUCUGAACAGAUGGUUACUGCCAUGGGCAUACAUCAACUGAACUUCAGAAGGUAUUUAUCAUGCAUCUUUGGAUUAGUUAUCCGCUUAACCCUCUCGAAAAAACGCAAACUUGUUCAUAUCGUCUUGUUUCUUCCGACAGCGAGUUUCUGAUCAACCUAUUGGAUUCAUUGUGUGAGGGGCUUCUACAUUGCGACGACUUGUUGAGUUCAAUAACAGGUACAUGUUGUUAAGAAAUGUUAUAUAAACUAGUUAUGAACAUCUCCUGACAAUUCGAGCUAUUGAGAUGUAAGAGUUUUUGAUUCAGAGGCUCGGUUUGCCAUUAUUAACCCUUUUCAACCGUAGGCUUCUGGUCAUAUUUCUCCCCUCCUAACAAGUUCCAUGAUCUUGCAGGGGAUAAUUGCUGCUUCAACAGUUCACGAAUCGACUUAUAUCUCGACUACGAACCACACCCAUCAUCUGCGAAAAACCUGAGGCAUCUUUUCCAGAGUAUGUUCUACACACAAAUAUUCCUAGUUGCAUUUAGGGGGGUCGGGCGGGCAGUAGUAACCAACCACAUUUUGUUGGGUAAUAAGGAUUCUAUAUAAAAAAUAGGUUAACCGAUUCAACCACCGACAUGGUGAUGAUUGGUUAAUUAUCCGCUCAAAGUAGGUCAGUUCUGGUUAAAAUAGGUAUAACUAUGAGGAGAGUCAUUUAACAUUUUCUUUCGGUUAAAUAUUCUCAAAUCCUUAACUGGUUAACUGCCCUAAGUAGUUUACGAAGGUGGCGGUUAAUCGGUUUUAACAGUAAGCGAAUGGUCAGCGCUUCUAGCAUUCAGCAUUCAGCAUUCAUGUCAUCAUACAUUAAAUCUCACCUUCCCCUUUGAUCAAACAGUGAUUCGGAAGGGCACAUUCGCGAAGUACGACUACGGGACGUUCAAAAACUUGAAGCAGUACGGGCAGGCAUCUCCACCAGUGUUUGACCUGAGCCAGAUACCAGACUCGUUGCCGCUGUGGAUGGGGUACGGAGGUCUCGAUGGGCUAGCUGACAUCGACGACAUGCAGCACACGCUUAAGGAGCUGCUGUGCAAGACGGAGCUGCUGUAUCUGGAGAACUACGGUCACAUCGACUUCCUUUUGAGCGUCAGAGGGAAAGAAGAUGUUUAUGACCAUAUUGUCGGAUUUUUCCAAUCACUUGGACAGUCUAUAAGCAGUGCUUAACGGAACUCGACAACUGAACUUCUAUGUGUCUGCACAUAUUGUAAAUAUUCGCAGCGGCGAAGUCAGGAAAUUGAUUAGACCUGCUCCCCAAGUAUACUAAAGCUGUAAAUCUUAACUAUUUCCAUAUUUUACUAUGAAUGGUCUCUCCUUUUAACAUACGCAACAAAUUCGUGGAUAUCCAUCUGAUCUGAUCUAUCCUAGGGAUCAAAUACAAAAUGAAUAUUCAACUUCAAUAGACAGAAUGAA
RNAcentral lists this long non-coding RNA (2548 nucleotides) under Linum usitatissimum (flax). Its description in RNAcentral is "long non-coding RNA (LUSI_LNC007824)". The record is from RNAcentral. Lineage: Eukaryota; Viridiplantae; Streptophyta; Magnoliopsida; Malpighiales; Linaceae.